UUGUUGCAGUUAAAAAGCUCGUAGUUGGACUUUAGGCAAGGCGGCCUGGUCACCCUCUGGGUGUACUGGGAUCGCUGCGCCUCACCUUCGGGGAGCUAGUCGUGCUUCGGUGCGCUAGGGAACCGAGCCUUACCUUGAGGAAAUUAGAGUGUUUAAAGCAGGCUUAUGCUUGAAUACGUUAGCAUGGAAUAACAUGAUAGGACUUUGGUUCUAUUUUGUUGGUUUGAGGACCAAAGUAAUGAUUAAUAGGGACAGUUGGGGGCAUUAGUAUUCAAUAGUCAGAGGUGAAAUUCUUGGAUUUAUUGAAGACUAACUAAUGCGAAAGCAUUUGCCAAGGAUGUUUUCAUUAAUCAAGAACGAAAGUUAGGGGAUCGAAGACGAUUAGAUACCGUCGUAGUCUUAACCAUAAACUAUGCCGACUAGGGAUCGGUGGAAGUCGAUUUUGACUCCAUCGGCACCUUACGAGAAAUCAAAGUUUUUGGGUUCUGGGGGGAGUAUGGUCGCAAGGCUGAAACUUAAAGGAAUUGACGGAAGGGCACCACCAGGAGUGGAGCCUGCGGCUUAAUUUGACUCAACACGGGAAAACUCACCAGGUCCGGACAUGGGAAGGAUUGACAGAUUGAGAGCUCUU
RNAcentral lists this ribosomal RNA (631 nucleotides) under uncultured eukaryote. Its description in RNAcentral is "SSU rRNA". It matches the Rfam family "Eukaryotic small subunit ribosomal RNA", at positions 610 to 1259 of the family's 1831-position model. The record is from RNAcentral.